AUUGAACGCUGGCGGCAUGCCUUACACAUGCAAGUCGAACGGCAGCACGGGUGCUUGCACCUGGUGGCGAGUGGCAAACGGGUGAGUAAUAUAUCGGAACGUACCUUAUUGUGGGGGAUAACGCAGCGAAAGCUGUGCUAAUACCGCAUAAUCCCUAAGGGGGAAAGCGGGGGACCGUAAGGCCUCGCGCAAUUAGAGCGGCCGAUACCUGAUUAGCUAGUUGGUGAGGUAAAGGCUCACCAAGGCAACGAUCAGUAGCUGGUCUGAGAGGACGAUCAGCCACACUGGGACUGAGACACGGCCCAGACUCCUACGGGAGGCAGCAGUGGGGAAUUUUGGACAAUGGGGGCAACCCUGAUCCAGCAAUGCCGCGCGAGUGAAGAAGGCCUUCGGGUUGUAAAGCUCUUUUGUCAGGGAAGAAACAGCAGCUCUAACACAGUUUGCGAAUGACGGUACCUGAAGAAUAAGCACCGGCUAACUACGUGCCAGCAGCCGCCGUAA
RNAcentral lists this ribosomal RNA (501 nucleotides) under uncultured bacterium. Its description in RNAcentral is "partial 16S ribosomal RNA". It matches the Rfam family "Bacterial small subunit ribosomal RNA", at positions 30 to 523 of the family's 1533-position model. The record is from RNAcentral.